This 482-nucleotide long non-coding RNA is filed under the name Gopherus agassizii (Agassiz's desert tortoise). RNAcentral's name for it is "lncRNA (ENSGAGG00000020504.1)". Lineage: Eukaryota; Metazoa; Chordata; Testudines; Testudinidae. The record is from RNAcentral.
UUCUUAUAAAACCUGCGACCUUCAUUUCACCACUUCCUCCACCAUUCCCAUUUCAGUCUGUAUCCUACCCGAGGGGCAGGUGGAUCUUGUGAUGGAAGAGCUAGGUACUAACUGGGAUAAUGAAGCCAGAGAAGAAGUCAUGCACUGGGAUAACGAGGCCGAACUUACAGUGUAUGCUCCUCCCAGCCACUCACGGAGAGAGGAAAUUCAGGAAGAAGAAAAGAGGCUGCACUCAUCAUGUUCCCAGAAAGGUAAUGAGGAGGAGGAAAGGAAGACUGCAGGAUCCCUGCCUCACUCUCCUUGCAUUGCUUACGGUGGUGAGCUGGAUGAGUGCGCCUUUGCAGCCGCUGGCCCGGGUUUGGAGCAGCUAGAAGAAGACCAGGGGGCUGCUCCCAAAGACCCUUUGCUAAAGGUGAAAGAGGAGAAAGCUGGAGCUGCCCAAACUGAUGCUGAAGCGUCAGAUGCCCUGUCCUUUGCUUGAA